UACGAAGGGGGCGAGCGUUGUUCGGAAUUACUGGGCGUAAAGGGCGCGUAGGCGGCCGAUCAAGUCAGAUGUGAAAGUCCUGGGCUUAACCUGGGGACUGCAUUUGAUACUGAUUGGCUUGAAUUCGGGAGAGGAUAGCGGAAUUCCCAGUGUAGAGGUGAAAUUCGUAGAUAUUGGGAAGAACACCGGUGGCGAAGGCGGCUAUCUGGACGAUGACUGACGCUGAGACGCGAAAGUGUGGGGAGCAAACAGG
RNAcentral lists this ribosomal RNA (253 nucleotides) under uncultured bacterium. Its description in RNAcentral is "partial 16S ribosomal RNA". It matches the Rfam family "Bacterial small subunit ribosomal RNA", at positions 524 to 776 of the family's 1533-position model. The record is from RNAcentral.